Cottoperca gobio is the source of this 547-nucleotide long non-coding RNA. RefSeq lists it as uncharacterized. The record is from RefSeq and is a predicted model, not a curated record. The transcript has 3 exons. Lineage: Eukaryota; Metazoa; Chordata; Actinopteri; Perciformes; Bovichtidae.
CGUAGCACAUGUCCAUGUCAUGGGUCACUUUCUGUAAAGGACACGGAGACAUGCCUGAUAUUUAAACUCCAUCCUGAAUCCUGAGGAUUUUAGAAGCUAUGAUUUGUGUUUGUGGCACCAGACAGGUGCUACCUGCUUCCACAUACAGUAUCUUCUUCUUUAAUAUAUCAUGCUGUGUCUAUUACUCAUCUGGUGAAACUAACAUCGUUGUGCUCUACCGCCCACCAGGACCUAUCGCAGAAGUUAGGUGUCCUCUCGAAAAUCCCAGAAGACACCUCCACCGCUUGUAAUUCUGGGUGACUUCAACAUCCAGACAGAGAGUGAACUGAUGUCAGGCCUCUCAUUGCUGCUGCUGUCCAGAUGCCUGAGGACAAAAACACAAGUGUACUGUUUUCUGUGAGCCCAGCUCUAUUUAAAAAGUCUCACAGCUCUUGUCAGUCCACACAUGCAGCUCCUGGGCCAGCUCAGGUAUCACCAGGAACGUCCUCCAGCCCUGCCGCUUCUUGGAUUUAAGGAUGUCGCCAAAAAUGUGGUCUCCGAUGUAGAU